CGGAGAAAAUGAACAUCUGAGCCUUGUGGGAAAAAGCUACUUGUUUAAAAUCCACCCGUCCUGAUGAUCCUGAGGAAUUAUUUCACUAAACAGACGAGAACAGCAAGAGAACAUCUACUUCAAAAGUGCUGGGUUGUAUGGCCAUGUCAUCCUUGAAGACGCUACUGGUGGAAUUAAUCACUUCUCUAUAUACCAGAGCACUGACAUCCUGAGUUUGUUACAUCAAAGGGUAUUGACUGAGAAGGCAAAUAAUCAAAUGACC
Lagopus leucura (white-tailed ptarmigan) is the source of this 262-nucleotide long non-coding RNA. RefSeq lists it as uncharacterized. NCBI's taxonomy places the organism in Eukaryota, Metazoa, Chordata, Aves, Galliformes, Phasianidae. The record is from RefSeq and is a predicted model, not a curated record. The transcript is spliced from 3 exons.